CUCCUCCCCAACUCAUUCUAUGAGGCCAACAUCAUCUUGAUACCAAAAUCUGGCAGACACACACACACACACACACACACACACACACACAUACACACACACCCCCACAAACUUCAGGCCAAUACCCUCGAUGAACAUCAAUGCAAAAAUCCUCAACAAAAUACUGGCAAACCAAAUCCAGCAGCACAUCAAAACGUUAAUCCAUCAUGAUGAAGUAGGCUUCAUCCCCAGGAUGCGAGGUUGCCUCCACAUACACAUAUCAAUUAAUCUGAUUCAUUACAUAAACAAAACUAAAGAUAAAAACCAUGUGAUUAUCUCAAUAUAUGCAGAAAAGACUUUCAAUAAAAUUCAAUGCCUCUCCAUAUUAAAAACUCUAAAAAAUCUGGGUAUUGAAGAAACAUAGCUCAAAGCGAUGAGCUGUUUUUGUACCAGUAUCAUGCUGUUUUGGUUACUGUAGCCCUGUAGUAUAGUUUGAAGUUGGGUAACAUGAUGCCUCCAGCUUCAAUCUUUUUGCUGAGGAUUGCUUGGCUAUUAGGGCUCUUUUUUUCGUUCCAUAUGAAUUUUGAAAUAGUUUGCUCUAGUUCUGUGAGGAACACCAUUGGUAAUUUCAUAGGGAUAACUUGCAUCUGUAAAUUACUUUGGGCAGUAUAGCCAUUUUAAUGAUGUUAAUUCUUCCUAUCCAUGAGCAUGAAAUAUUUUUCCAUUUGUUUGUGCCUUCUCUGAUUUCUUUGAGCAGUGUUUUGUAAUUCUUCUAGAGAUCUCCUAGAGAUCUUUCACCUCCCUGAUUAGCUGCAUUCCUAGGUAUUUUAUUUUUUCUGUGUGUAGCAAUUAUGAAUGGGAUUGUGUUCUUCAUUUGGCUCUCUGCUUGACUUGACGUAUAGGACUGCUAGUAAUUUUUGCACAUUGAUUUUGUAUGCUAAGACUUUGCUAAAGUUUAUCAGCAGAAGAGCUUUGGGGCCAAGACUGUGGGGUAUUCUAGAUAUAGAAUCAUGUCAUCUGUAAACAGAGACAGUUUGACUUCCCGUCUAUUCCACUCUUUCUUCCUGUAUUUCAAUGCCCUUCCAGUUUUGCACAUUGAGUGUAAUGCUGGCUGUGGGUUUGUCAUGGCUAGCUCUCAUCAUUUUGGCACUUCCAACUAGAAGGGCAAGAGGGGCCAGUGUUGUUGUUACCUGAAAGGUAAGUGCAGCCCACAAAAAUGCAGUGAUGAAGAAGAUAUAUGCAUAUGUUUAAGUUAAUACGAUUGAGAUAUAUUUAACAGACAGAAUCAAUAGAGUUGAUGAGGGACUGACUGGAUGUGUGGGGAGUUUAUAUCACUCCCAUAUUUUUGGCUUGGGCAACUGGGCACUCAUGAAGGAAAAAGAGGAUCCAGGGAGAGGAGGAACUUUUCUGAGGACUGGGGUAGGGCUGAACAGCUGCAUUCGAGACUGGUGGAGGGUGGGCUGGGCAUGGGAUGCACAAAUGGAAAUUCCACUGGGUCUGCAGCUCACACAUAGGCAUGACCAGCAUAGAGAUAGAGAGGCCCCAGUGCUGCUGAGUAACUGUGAUUCCCCAGGUGAUGGCAUCAGCUGAGAAGGGAAGGAAGCCCAUGUGAGGACACUGAAGAAGGAGUGAGCAGACAAUAAGAAGCCCACAGAAGACAGAGAAGGAAAAACUAGAGGGAGAAGCCAAGGCAGGCGUGUGUGGUAACAUAUAGGAACUGAGGGAGAGGACAUUUCAAGAUGUAGGGGAUGCCAUACAACAGGACUAUGUGAUGGUUUUUGGCUGUGUCCAUAGGAAGUCACAACAGGCAAGGGAAAGAAACCAGAACCCAGUCAUGGAGUUAAGAAGUGAGUCAGAGAGGAGACGGGUAGGGACAGUGAGGUAAGGCCUCUUUUGAAGGAAGUUUGGCUGAAGGAUAGACUAGCUGGACACGCGCUGGCUGUGUGGGGUAGAGGGAGGAAUGAUGGAGGGUAGGAGAGCCUUGAGCCUGUGAGAAGAGUCCCCUAGAAUAGAGAAGCUGAGGUUAAAGUUGUGGAAGAGAGUGGGGAUAGCUGAGUGACAGAUAAUCACGAGAAGAAAAGGAGAUCCAGAAUCAUGACAGAGAGAUGACCUUUGCCAAGAGCACAGCCGUCUUUCCCUGUCACAGAGAAGUAGGAGAAAACGAUUGGUUUUCAAGAAUUGGUUUGUAGCACAAUAUUUUAACUAUGUCCUUUAAAAAGUUUCUCCACAGACACUACCCAAAGCAGUCCUUCACUACAGUGGCAGACAGACCUGAAAAUUUUCAUCUGAAGCAGCAGAGUGAACUGCAGAGUCAGGUCACCAACCAGUGUGGAGGCUAACAGCAGGCCUCUUUGGGGAUUCCAGGUGGAAGUGUUGGACAUCUGUAGUAUUCCUGGUCUCGAAUCAUCCUGAUAUUCUUCAUUUUGUUAUUCACAUUGGACUAGGCAGGAACAAAGAUCACCACAACUGGCUCCCCUUCAACUGUGUUAGAUGGCAGCUUGCCUUCAGUACGGUGAAACACAUUAGUUAAGACUGGGAUUGUGCAUGGCAGGACUUUCUACAAGGACACCCAGUCUCCUUAAUAAACAAGAGAUGCUCUCUUUCCAGAAGUUCUCUUGCCUGACACAGCAUAGGAAGAUGCUGAACGGCCACACAGUGAUCCAUUGAGAUAGACUCUCACUAUGUUGACCAGGCUGGUCUUGAACUCUUGGCACCCGAGCGAUCCUUUUGCCUGGAAUCCCAAAGUGUCAGAUUUACUGAAGAAUAUUUCAUUGUAAUUACUUUUUAUACUUUAUAGGUCAAGAGCUCUGUUUUAAAGACAAAAUUUAUUGAAUAUGCUUUUUCAAACAAA
RNAcentral lists this long non-coding RNA (2830 nucleotides) under Pongo abelii (Sumatran orangutan). RNAcentral's name for it is "lincRNA". Lineage: Eukaryota; Metazoa; Chordata; Mammalia; Primates; Hominidae. The record is from RNAcentral.